UACGUAGGGGGCUAGCGUUGCUCGGAAUCACUGGGCGUAAAGCGCACGUAGGCGGACUCUUAAGUCGGUGGUGAAAUCCUGGAGCUCAACUCCAGAACUGCCUUUGAUACUGGCGACCUUGAGUCCGGGAGAGGUGAGUGGAACUGCGAGUGUAGAGGUGAAAUUCGUAGAUAUCAAGCGGAACACCGGUGGCGAAGGCGGCCUUCUGGACAGUGACUGACGCUGAGACGCGAAAGCGUGGGGAGCAAACAGG
RNAcentral lists this ribosomal RNA (253 nucleotides) under uncultured bacterium. RNAcentral's name for it is "partial 16S ribosomal RNA". It matches the Rfam family "Bacterial small subunit ribosomal RNA", at positions 524 to 776 of the family's 1533-position model. The record is from RNAcentral.